UACGGGGGGGGCGAGCGUUGUUCGGAAUUAUUGGGCGUAAAGGGAGCGUAGGCGGUGCGGUAAGACUGGUGUGAAACCUCCAGGCUCAACUUGGAGCUGGCAUCAGUGACUGCCGUGCUAGAGUGCGGGAGAGGAUAGUGGAAUUCCCGGUGUAGCGGUGAAAUGCGUAGAUAUCGGGAGGAACAUCGGUGGCGAAGGCGGCUAUCUGGACCGUAACUGACGCUGAGGCUCGAAAGCUAGGGGAGCAAACAGG
Molecule: ribosomal RNA, 253 nt
Filed under: uncultured bacterium
Lineage: Bacteria
Description: partial 16S ribosomal RNA
Rfam family: Bacterial small subunit ribosomal RNA
Source: RNAcentral